This 518-nucleotide ribosomal RNA is filed under the name uncultured Acidobacteriota bacterium. RNAcentral's name for it is "bacterial SSU rRNA". It matches the Rfam family "Bacterial small subunit ribosomal RNA", at positions 140 to 636 of the family's 1533-position model. Lineage: Bacteria; Pseudomonadati; Acidobacteriota. The record is from RNAcentral.
GGGAUAACCUUCCGAAAGGAGGGCUAAUACCGCAUGACAUCCCGUGUUUGGAUACACGGACAUCACUCUCCGGGGAUCGCAAGACCUGACGCUUGGAGAGGGGCCCGCGUCCGAUUAGCUAGUUGGUGGGGUAACGGCCCACCAAGGCUUCGAUCGGUAUCCGGCCUGAGAGGGCGGACGGACACACUGGAACUGAGACACGGUCCAGACUCCUACGGGAGGCAGCAGUAGGGAAUUGUUCGCAAUGGGCGCAAGCCUGACGACGCAACGCCGCGUGGAGGAUGAAGACCUUCGGGUCGUAAACUCCUUUCGACCGAGAUGAAUACCUUUGGACCUAACACGUCCGAAGGCUGACAGUAUCGAGGGAAGAAGCCCCGGCUAACUCCGUGCCAGCAGCCGCGGUAAUACGGGGGGGGCAAGCGUUGUUCGGAAUUACUGGGCGUAAAGGGUUCGUAGGUGGCCGACUAAGUCAAACGUGAAAUCCCUCAGCUUAACUGGGGAACUGCGUCUGAUACUGG